UUAGAAAUCGUGAGGGUUCAAGUCCCUCUAUCCCCAAAAAAACCAUAU
RNAcentral lists this transfer RNA (48 nucleotides) under Heptacodium miconioides. Its description in RNAcentral is "partial tRNA-Leu". RNAcentral also lists the same sequence under 2 other names. The record is from RNAcentral. Lineage: Eukaryota; Viridiplantae; Streptophyta; Magnoliopsida; Dipsacales; Caprifoliaceae.